UUUGACAAAUCUGAAGCCAUUUCCCAAAAGUGAAAACUACGGCCAUUUUUCAUAUUUUUUCCACAGUGAAACCCUCACCCAAAAAUCUUCAGGCGCGCUUUUAUUUUUGGAGAAAAAGUUUCUCACACCCAUAUUUCCCUAAAUUAUGCCUCGUCUAUAUUUUUCUUCGUUUUUUUCUUUUGAGUUUUCAAGCAUUCGAUUCUCUCCGAGAAGCUGAGAGAUUUCAAGCGAUUGUUUAGAUUCGGAUUUAAUUCAGAGAUUUUAUGGCUAUAUUUUUCUGGAUAGUUGGAGACGCAGGUACGUAUUUUCCACCUUUUUCUAUGAUUUUUGUUGGAUUCAGAUUGGAUUGAUGGAAGUUUGUUUUCUUUAGUGAUUCUUCAGGAAACAAGAGGAGGAGGAAGUUUUAAGUGAGCGUUGUUCGUUCCAAUGUCAUCCUACAGCAGUUGAUUCUGGCGUGUUCUUGAAACUUCAAACUAUUGCUCUUCUUUUAUUGAUAGUUCCGAGUUACUUGUUAAAUUUUCAGUUUUUAGUGACCUGUUUUUGUUAAGUAAUCUUAUAGCUGUUUUGUAUUUGGUUAUCAACAACGGUUUACUCAUGGUUUUAUGACUGGUAUCAUCAACUGAAUUUUUGUUUGAUUGCGAAACAAGCCAAAAUUUUCAUUUUAACGUUGUACCUCUGAAAUCUCGAAUGAGUGACAAUUUGAUUUGAUUUCCUGAGUUCUGAACUUUGGUUAUCUGUCUCUGUUAGUUCUUAUGAUUAUUAUACUUCUCUUCUAUGAUUGAUCUAGGUAUUUUUAUCUUACUCAUUUUCAGCUAUCUACAUUUAUAAGUCGGAUUGUAUUUUUAUCUCUGUAUAUAAUGUGGUUAAUUAGUUCCUUUGCUAUUGUAGUCAUUUUGAGGAUUUGAUGGAUUCUGUUGAUGAAGGGAUCUGGUAUUUAUCGUAAUUGACGUAGCUUAUAUUUUAGUGGUAGUGGUCAAAUUUUGGAAGUUGAUUUUUGAGAAUUCUACUAGGCAAUAGUUACAACUGUAGAUAAGUUACGGACCUUUAUUUGACUUCAGUUGAGAACUUGAUUGAGAGGGAUAUUUUAACCUUGUGCGCUAGGCAGUAAUCAAUUUGUCCUUGUCAACACUAACUAGUUGUUCACUUACAUUUGCUCACGAGAUUCUGAAAGAUUAGCUUGCAGUUGGUAAUUUUGAUUCUGCGCAUUAAUUCAUAAUUGCUUAUUGUGUAAAGUUCAGGAGCUACUAUGAAGUGGAUGUGGGAAAAUGGUGAUUCAAGACUUGAGUGUUGGUCACAAAACUUGGCACUUACUGGUUUCUUUUGUAAAACUAUCAGUUAAAGGAUAGUUGUGAAGAGAGUUAUCGACUUUGAUGAUUGAAGGCUCUUAUUUGCGAAGAAUCUUUAGGAGUUAAAGACUUUUAUUCUCUCUAAAAGAUCAAUCUACAGAAUUUGUUUUAUAAUUAUAAGCUAUCUUAUCGGCAAGCUUCUGCGAACUGGUGCACUGGAAAGUCUGCACGGCAGGCUUCUACUGCAAAACUGUAUUUAUUCUCUAUCUAUGGUGCAGUUUUGUUUAGCCCGAAAUCUUGGGAUAGGCUUCGUGUUCGUGUUUACACUGCCUAUUCAUUUGAUUCCCGUUAACAUAAGUGCAUCAAGAUGGCUAAUUGACAUGGAUUGGAGAUGGUUGCAAGUGGGUGAAUUGGAUGACUGCAAUCAGUUGAAGAAGAAAAUGUACGGAGAACUAAAUUCAGGGGUUUUUGUGCUCGGAUUCAAAUUAAGUUUUGUAUAGAAUUCAGCCUAUAGGAAGGUGAAAAUGUUGUUGGUUGUUGAGAAAUGGGAAAAGUGUUUAUGUUGUUUGGUUUGUAUGGGAGUUAUUGAAACAUGAAAGAAGAUGAUGAUGUUGUUAUGGC
Molecule: long non-coding RNA, 1907 nt
Organism: Papaver somniferum (opium poppy)
Lineage: Eukaryota; Viridiplantae; Streptophyta; Magnoliopsida; Ranunculales; Papaveraceae
Exons: 3
Source: RefSeq, a predicted model, not a curated record